This 420-nucleotide long non-coding RNA is filed under the name Trifolium pratense (red clover). Its description in RNAcentral is "long non-coding RNA (TPRA_LNC010886)". The record is from RNAcentral. Lineage: Eukaryota; Viridiplantae; Streptophyta; Magnoliopsida; Fabales; Fabaceae.
AAGCAAUGACAACAGCAGCAACAAAGACUUUGACGACACCAAAAGCGGCAGCAGCAACAUCCCUGACGCUGGUGCAAAAAAUGUUAAGUGUGAAGUGUGUGCUAAAACAUUUAGAAACGAGAGUGCCUUAAGAGAUCAUAUGGCGGAGGAACAUGGAGACAAGAAGUGUUUUAAGUGUAACCUUAACUUUGACACAAAUCAACAAAGGCAGGAUCACAUGGACAGGGGGAUUUGUAGCAAAAACUAAAAAGUUUCCAUCUUUAUAUAUUCAUGCUUAGAAUAAGGAUUUUUUUCCAUUAGUACGUAGUUGUCUUUUUAUGUUUGAAUAAUUAAUUGUCCUUUCUUGUUAUAGGACAAUUUUCUUAUCUUGUUAUAGGAGUUUUAUUGUGUGCUUUAUGUUUUACGGUUUUAUUGUAAAAG